AAAAGUGGAUUAGCGGCGGACGGGUGAGUAACACGUGAGUAACCUGCCUUAGACAUUGGGAUAGCCUCGGGAAACCGGGAUUAAUACCAAAUAAAAUCAUAAUGACACAUGUCAUAACGAUCAAAGCUCCGGUGGUCUAAGAUGGACUCGCGUCCCAUUAGCUAGUUGGUAGAGUAAAAGCCUACCAAGGCGACGAUGGGUAGCCGGCCUGAGAGGGUGAACGGCCACAUUGGAACUGAGAAACGGUCCAA
Molecule: ribosomal RNA, 251 nt
Filed under: uncultured Eubacteriales bacterium
Lineage: Bacteria; Bacillati; Bacillota; Clostridia; Eubacteriales
Description: uncultured Clostridiales bacterium partial 16S ribosomal RNA
Rfam family: Bacterial small subunit ribosomal RNA
Source: RNAcentral